Molecule: long non-coding RNA, 2968 nt
Filed under: Takifugu rubripes (torafugu)
Lineage: Eukaryota; Metazoa; Chordata; Actinopteri; Tetraodontiformes; Tetraodontidae
Description: lncRNA (ENSTRUG00000032303.1)
Source: RNAcentral
GCAUGUUCUUGGGCCAGCCUCAGAUGCAGUUCAGCACACAGGGUUUCCCUCCAGGAAUGGGCGGACCUCUUCCGGCCAGCGGGGGUGUGAUGCCUGGCGGGACUCUGCCAAACGGAGGCUAUGUGGGCAUGCAGCAGCAAGCCCCAGUGCCGGCUAACCAAGGACAGAACCCAUACAGCCUGCUGCAAGGACAACAACAAGGACAAUGGAACAUGAACCAGAUGACCCAACAGAUGUCGGGAUUGGCUGUGAGCAGUGGAGCCGUGGCCACUUUCGCCCAAUCAGGGCCCCCCGCAGGUGGCUGGGCCACGCCCGCUCCCGCGCCCUCCGGCCAGACCCUCAGCACUCAGCUGUGGAAGUGAUGAGUUAGAGGUUCUCCUCACACCUCUGGGUAAAACAACGCACAUCAGUGUAGGGGGGAGGUUCACCCGCCUCCUUCUCCUGGCACGCUUUCACCACAGUUCCUUUAAAAAACUAAACAUAUACGAUGCGAAGCGGAGAGAAUCAGGACUGGUUUGCAGUCUUUUUUUAUUGUUGCUUUUCCCCUUGGAAUUACUGUAUUUAUCGUCUGAAGAACGACACAAAAACAUUAAAAUGGAACAACGACGAAGCUGCUGGACCCAAGGGCGUAGGUUUGGAUGGCAGAGACACGUCCCUGAAGCACGCUGUAAGGUGUUUGUGAGCGUCCGCCACGUCUUUGUGUUUGUUAGAAAGAAAAGACGGAGAAACAACUUUUAAAAUAGCAAAGAAAACAAUUAAAUCAGUGGUACUGCUGUUAAAAAUGCAAGAAAUCUAGACUGAGACAUCAAACGCAGCAUCUUUGAGCUCUCUGUUGUCAUGGUACGGUCCAGCCCAUUUAAAGGGGUGUGCACCCUAAAGCUGACACAAACCUACGCCGCUGGUAAGUCCCAUAUCUGUGUCUAAUCUAGUCAUUAGUCAGUAACUAGUCUUCAAGUGCCGCAGUAGAUAUGACAUUUGUGUGGUCGUCGGUAUUCCCCCGUCUCUGUCAUGUAUAAUGAAACAGCCCCCCCCUCUGUAGUCCAAACAGAGUCUGGUAGCAGAGAGGCCUCUGAACAGUACUGUAUCUAUCCAAACACCACGUGACUCGUCCCCUUUUCCAGAGCCAUAGGAGGGCGGCUGGUGUCUUUUUACCCAGAAUGCCCUUUCAGUACAACACGACAGCACCAUAACAACAACGCCCAUAGCAGUGCGCAGUUUUACUCAGCAUUCCAUCAUGAAACGGUGAUAACAGCCGUGCAAUAUGGACUCCAGACAAUUUGUAAAUAUGUAGUUUUAUCUUAUUUUUACGGAGUUGAUGCGUAUGGCUAACGCUAAGAACAGGAAACGCUCGUGAGGAGGAUGAGUGAACGCUGAAGAACCAUCAUUUAGGUUGAAUCGUGGUGACUCAGGAACCAACAAGAUUCUAGAACCUGGCAAAAACUGACCCAGGAUAUGGAAUCAACUGUGUCAGCGCACAUUUACGCCUGAGAGCAGACGCUCUGACGCCCAUCUUCAGCUGUGGGUGUCAAAGGGCUACAUUUAGCCACAAAGUAGAUGAUUUAGUUUUGAGGUGGUUUUUUUUUUUUUUUUUCCAACUGGAGUAAUUCAUGCAGUAAUUUUGUUUUAUGGCUUCAUCUCAGAUAUUGACGGACUCUAAACUGCAGGGUAGAUUUUUCUCUCCGUCUUUUAUGAGUCUUAAACUGGACAAAUGUGUCGCCCUUCGUGUGUAGCGCUGUGACCGCCGUACGGGCGCCGUUACAGACUUUGCUGUCGUGUUCAUGUUGCGUGUGGUACAAGAGAAGCACAUUCUGAAGGAAAUAAACCUGGAGAGGGCUAAACUGGCAGGACAAGGGACAAAGUGUGCCGACACCCACCUGAUGGGUUCUGCGACUUUUGCUCAUCCUGUCACGCAAUAACUGUAGCUCUCUCUCGCCUCUCUGUUGUUAGUGGGAACAACAUUCCGAGUCCUCCAGGUUUAUUUCCCACAUGUUUACAUUUUCUGGUGCCUAGGAUGAUAUAAAUGGUUUCUGUGCAUUAAUAAACAUUCUUAUUUCAUCUGUGUAUUCCUCUGUGAAACUUUAACUGUACUGUAAUUUUAUCCUUUUUUUGGAAUAAAAAAAUGUUAAACACACUCGAUUUAAUCCUGCUUUUUAUUUUUGUCCAUAUAUUGUCCAUAUUCAGGUUGAAGGUCUUCUUUUAUUCUGACAUGCAGUUUCUAAUCCUGAUCAGAUAAAAGAAUAAUACCUGACUGCUGCCUUUAGCUGUAAGAACUACUUUUUUAAAAAAAACAACAAAUAUUUGAAGAUUUUAAGUGAAGAAAAACCCACCAUCAGUGUUAAAUUGGCCUACGUAAUUGCGUGAGCAGCUUAUGGGAGAGACCGCUCUUUUCUUUUUUUAUAACCCCUGUUCAAAUCAUAGUUCACAUUUUCCUCUGAACAAAUAAAACUAAUAUCACAAAUGUCGACAGAUUCUGGGUGAAACAACUUUAAUGAAAAACAAUGUAUUAAGUGCUAAUUCAGGUUGACUGCUUACAAUCAUUUUGCUAAAUUAGCUAUACGCUAACAGCAAACCGACUUUGUAAUGAUGUUUAAACUGGUCGUGGUCCUCUCCUCCACAACACCACUCAUCAUCCUGACCACAAAUGUGUUUAUGGGGACGACGGCACAGUAGCACAGUUAAUUUGACAAGGACACGUUAAUAAUUCAAAUGACUCGCACGGCCCCUUUUCAGCAAGAGUUCAGACAUUUACAUUAAGCCACGGAUGAGGGAACAGUCGGUAAAUCAGGCGUGGUGAGUUCGCUCCUGGUCUGACAGAAAACCAGACCUCUGGGAUCAUGCAGCCCCUCUGAGCACGUUUGCGCCACGGAGAGAUUUUAUCAGUCUGAUAAGGAGUGAAAAUAGGAUCCUGCUGCUCAUGCUGGCCUGGAAAUGCCGCCCUGACACGUUCCGCCUCGCGUUUGUUUGAUCC